GAGAGUUGAUCUGGCUCAGGACGAACGCUGGCGGCGUGCCUAAUACAUGCAAGUGGAACGCAUGAUUGAUACCGUAGCUUGCUACACCAUUAAUCAUGAGUCGCGAACGGGUGAGUAACGCGUAGGUAACCUGCCUACUAGCGGGGGAUAACUAUUGGAAACGAUAGCUAAUACCGCAUAAGAGUUUUUAACACAUGUUAGAAAUUUAAAAGGAGCAAAUGCUUCACUAGUAGAUGGACCUGCGUUGUAUUAGCUAGUUGGUAAGGUAACGGCUUACCAAGGCGACGAUACAUAGCCGACCUGGGAGGGUGAUCGGCCACACUGGGACUGAGACACGGCCCAGACUCCUACGGGAGGCAGCAGUAGGGAAUCUUCGGCAAUGGGGGGAACCCUGACCGAGCAACGCCGCGUGAAGUGAAGAAGGUUUUCGGAUCGUAAAGCUCUGUUGUAAGAGAAGAACGUUGAGUAGAGUGGAAAGUUACUCAAGUGACGGUAUCUUACCAGAAAGGGACGGCUAACUACGUGCCAGCCGCGGC
Molecule: ribosomal RNA, 536 nt
Filed under: uncultured bacterium
Lineage: Bacteria
Description: bacterial SSU rRNA
Rfam family: Bacterial small subunit ribosomal RNA
Source: RNAcentral